Rattus norvegicus (Norway rat) is the source of this 70-nucleotide non-coding RNA. The record is from Rfam. NCBI's taxonomy places the organism in Eukaryota, Metazoa, Chordata, Mammalia, Rodentia, Muridae.
GGGACGGAUGGUCGACCAGCUGGAAAGUAAUUGUUUCUAAUGUACUUCACCUGGUCCACUAGCCGUCGGU